RNAcentral lists this ribosomal RNA (509 nucleotides) under uncultured Diversisporaceae. Its description in RNAcentral is "SSU rRNA". It matches the Rfam family "Eukaryotic small subunit ribosomal RNA", at positions 569 to 1078 of the family's 1831-position model. The record is from RNAcentral. Lineage: Eukaryota; Fungi; Glomeromycota; Glomeromycetes; Diversisporales.
AGCAGCCGCGGUAAUUCCAGCUCCAAUAGCGUAUAUUAAAGUUGUUGCAGUUAAAAAGCUCGUAGUUGAACUUCGGGGUUUACCCAUUGGUCAGGCUUAAUUGUCUGCACUGGUGAGAUGAAUCUCUACCUUCUGAGGAACUUUCAUGCCAUUUAUUUGGUGUGAUGGGAAAUCAGGACUGCUACUUUGAAAAAUUAGAGUGCUUAAAGCAGGCUGACGUCUGAAUACAUUAGCAUGGAAUAAUGAAAUAGGACGGACUGAUUCUAUUUCGUUGGUUUCUAGGAUCACCGUAAUGAUUAACAGGGAUAGUUGGGGGCAUUAGUAUUCAAUUGUCAGAGGUGAAAUUCUUGGAUUUGUUGAAGACUAACGACUGCGAAAGCAUUUGCCAAGGAUGUUUUCAUUAAUCAAGAACGAAAGUUAGGGGAUCGAAGACGAUCAGAUACCGUCGUAGUCUUAACCAUAAACUAUGCCGACUAGGGAUCGGACGAAGUUAAUUUUAUAAUGACGCG